RNAcentral lists this ribosomal RNA (372 nucleotides) under uncultured bacterium. RNAcentral describes it as "bacterial SSU rRNA". It matches the Rfam family "Bacterial small subunit ribosomal RNA", at positions 527 to 896 of the family's 1533-position model. The record is from RNAcentral.
GUAGGGUGCGAGCAUUGUCCGGAAUUAUUGGGCGUAAAGAGCUCGUAGGCGGCUUGUCGCGUCGGAUGUGGAAGCCCGGGGCUUAACCCCGGGUCUGCAUUCGAUACGGGCAGGCUAGAGUUCGGUAGGGGAGAUCGGAAUUCCUGGUGUAGCGGUGAAAUGCGCAGAUAUCAGGAGGAACACCGGUGGCGAAGGCGGAUCUCUGGGCCGAUACUGACGCUGAGGAGCGAAAGCGUGGGGAGCGAACAGGAUUAGAUACCCUGGUAGUCCACGCCGUAAACGUUGGGAACUAGGUGUGGGCGACAUUCCACGUUGUCCGUGCCGCAGCUAACGCAUUAAGUUCCCCGCCUGGGGAGUACGGCCGCAAGGCUA